Neofelis nebulosa (Clouded leopard) is the source of this 1407-nucleotide long non-coding RNA. RefSeq lists it as uncharacterized. The transcript is spliced from 2 exons. The record is from RefSeq and is a predicted model, not a curated record. Lineage: Eukaryota; Metazoa; Chordata; Mammalia; Carnivora; Felidae.
CCCUCCCCCCACAGAGACGUUCCCCAUCUCCCUCCCUGCCACCCAGCAAUCCCCAACGCGACUGGCAGGGGCCACUGAGACGGACCUGACACACACCAGCCGCGGCGCCACCGAGAGAAGCCCCUCCACCACGGCGUCCAGACAGCUGACUGCAGUGUAGAGGGAUCAGAUAGCAGGGCUGGGUGUCGCGACUCCACGAGAGCCGUAAACUUGUGUCCCCGGCCCUCGGUGCCCCAACUUGGGCAUCGCGAUCCCGUCCUCCCCAUCGUGACAUCCGGUUCAGGCUUUCGCGAUAGCCGGCCUCGGAGUUUCAAAGUCGGCGCGGGGCAGGGGCGUGGCCAACAGCGAAGGCCUGCCUGGCUGUCGCGAGAGGUGGGCACCCAAUCAGCAGCCUGGACGCCCGCCCCCAAUAGCCAGCCUCGUCGCCGCUCUUAGUUAAUACUUUUUCCACCGCUCCGCGUUUCGCGACCUCGAGUCCUGGUCUUGCCACAGCGACAAUCAAUGCAGGGGAAUCCCCUCGGUUUCCAAACGGAAGACCCCCGGGCCACGACCCACCAAAGAGGGCUGCGAGUGGAGAAGGAGUGUCAGUGACUGGCCAUGGCCCAGUACGGGAAGUGCAUGCUCCAUCCCAGUGACGUCACGGGAAAUACCCUGGAGAUCCCACAGGAAGUACUUGGCCCCAUGAUAUCCCUGAAGUAGCCUCCAAGGAAGGCUCACUGAGACAUCAUAGGAAGUACCUGUCUCUUGUGUCAUCACAGGAAGUGACCUCUGGGGAACUGCUUCCCGUGACAUCAUAAGGAGUGCCAGAAGCACCCCAGAAAGUACUUGACUCAGUGACAUCCCAACAGAGACCUUCAUUCCCAUUACUCUAAGUCAAACCACCGAAGACGCCACCGGAAGUUGUUCCAGCCCGUCGCAAGAGUCAUGCCCACAGGACUGGACCAAUCCCAGAGCCGGCCUCAUUCCCAGCAGGCACUGCACACCGCUCCCCCACCCCCUUCCCCCACCAUAACAACCUGACAACAGAACAGUGAACAGUCCCACCUAGAAGGGGCAAUUCCAAGAGGGGUAGAGCCGCUGAGAAGAUCUGGGAACUCUGGGGUCCCUGCUCCAAAUACCCCAUUUCAGCUCAGAUUCCUCGGCUACCUCUACUCCCAUCCCUUCCUUCAGAUCUGGAACCGAAAGCAGGAGAGGUGGGGUGUUGUUUUGGGGAGGCCCCUCAUUCUAGGUGGCCCAGAGGCUCCCUCCCCUCCUCCCAUAUGGAAACAAAAACUUCUAAGGGGGGGCGGGGGCGGAAAUCCUUACCAAAACACCAAACCAAAACAAACCAAAACAAACAAACAAAAAAAACAAAACAAAAAAGAAGAAGUAGAAGAAAAGGAAAAUAAAAAGAAAAAAAAAAAAGGA